RNAcentral lists this ribosomal RNA (378 nucleotides) under uncultured eukaryote. Its description in RNAcentral is "partial 18S ribosomal RNA". It matches the Rfam family "Eukaryotic small subunit ribosomal RNA", at positions 592 to 976 of the family's 1831-position model. The record is from RNAcentral.
CAAUAGCGUAUAUUUAAGUUGUUGCAGUUAAAAAGCUCGUAGUUGGAUUUCGGGUGGGACGCAGCGGUCUCGCAUUGCGUUUGUACUGCUGCAGCCCUCCUUCUUGCCGGGGGCGGCCUCUCGGACUUCACUGUCUGGGGGUCAGAAUCGGCGAUGUUACUUUGGGUAAAUUAGAGUGUUCAAAGCAAGCUUACGCUCUGAAUAUAAUAGCAUGGGAUAACACGACAGGACUCUGGCCUAUCGUGUUGGUCUAUAGGACCAGAGUAAUGAUUAAGAGGGACAGUCGGGGGCAUUCGUAUUCCGUUGUCAGAGGUGAAAUUCUUGGAUUUACGGAAGACGAACAUCUGCGAAAGCAUUUGCCAAGGAUGUUUUCAUUGA